AGAGUGAACGCUGGCGGUAGGCCUAACACAUGCAAGUCGAACGGCAGCACAGGAGAGCUUGCUCUCUGGGUGGCGAGUGGCGGACGGGUGAGGAAUACAUCGGAAUCUACCUUUUCGUGGGGGAUAACGUAGGGAAACUUACGCUAAUACCGCAUAAGACCUUCGGGUGAAAGCCGGGGACCUUCGGGCCUGGCGCGGAUAGAUGAGCCGAUGUCGGAUUAGCUUGUUGGCGGGGUAAAAGCCCACCAAGGCGACGAUCCGUAGCUGGUCUGAGAGGAUGAUCAGCCACACUGGAACUGAGACACGGUCCAGACUCCUACGGGAGGCAGCAGUGGGGAAUAUUGGACAAUGGGCGCAAGCCUGAUCCAGCCAUACCGCGUGGGUGAAGGAA
Molecule: ribosomal RNA, 391 nt
Filed under: uncultured soil bacterium
Lineage: Bacteria
Description: bacterial SSU rRNA
Rfam family: Bacterial small subunit ribosomal RNA
Source: RNAcentral